UUUUCUCUACAUAAUAAGCACUAUUAAUUGCCACUCACAGCCGCCCACCAUCACCAGCACUAUUACAUGUAUCAUUGUUAAUAAGUGUUAUUAUAUAAGUUUCUGCAUGGCACGUAAUUGCCUAUAAAAAUAUAGCUAUUGCAAGUUUAAUUGGCCAUUAUAAUCUUAUUAGGGUUUCUUCUGUAGCAUUUGCAGUGAAGACAUGAAGAGUUUAAGCUACUAUCAAUAUUACCUCUUGUUUGUANN
RNAcentral lists this long non-coding RNA (246 nucleotides) under Ricinus communis (castor bean). Its description in RNAcentral is "long non-coding RNA (RCOM_LNC003265)". The record is from RNAcentral. Lineage: Eukaryota; Viridiplantae; Streptophyta; Magnoliopsida; Malpighiales; Euphorbiaceae.